Quercus lobata is the source of this 1451-nucleotide long non-coding RNA. RefSeq lists it as uncharacterized. The record is from RefSeq and is a predicted model, not a curated record. Lineage: Eukaryota; Viridiplantae; Streptophyta; Magnoliopsida; Fagales; Fagaceae. The transcript has 2 exons.
UUUAUCCUAUUUUCUUGGCUGCAUCAGACCAGAAAGUCCAGCCCUCUUUCUCUACUCCUUUUUCUUUGUUCUUGUUUUUCUUCUCUCUUUGCUCUUACACAGCAACCCUCCCUUUCUCACCAAAACAAUUUAUCCCUCUCUAAAGAAGAAAUUAAAAGGUUAACACUAAAAUUUCAGUUUCAAAGUUUGUGGGUGGCAAGAAUAAGAACACGAACACUUGAGCUCUUCUUGUACAAUCUCUCGUGCCUUCUGUUUUCAGGUGAGGGACUUGUGACAUGUGUUUUUGAUAAAGAUAAAGGUUAUUUCGAAAAGUAUUAUGCAUUAAAGUUUUUUAUUAGAAAUAUUAUAUAUAAGCAUGAUUUAAGUAAAAUAUAUGUUCGUGGGUUGUUCAAUCUUAUAUAUAUGAUAAUUUUAGCAUAUUAAUGCUAUUAUUUAUAUUACGAACAUAAUAUUUAAGAAUGAAGUAGAUAUGCUAUUAUGGUGAAACAUUUAUGUAAAAGCAAAAUUAUCAGAAAAAUACAAUUUUCGGUUAUUCCAUUGUUAUGAUCUAAACUCAGCCAGUAGGGGUUAUAGUACUGGUAUUUCCAUGGAGAUUCUGAUUGGCCAUUAAAAGUGGGAUUGGUUUUGCUGUACCCGCCCUUGUUGGUAACAGCCAACUUGUGGAGGAUGUCAACCUACCCCUAUGGUUGAAAAUAUGUAUUAUGAUAUGAUUCCAAAAUUACCUAGCAUUGUGGGGAAUGCUGGAUGCCUAGCACUCUAUGCUGGAAGCCUUCCAAAGUUGUGACAGACUUAUAAUUGGAUUAACUAAUAUAUAUUAUAAAUGAGCUAUUAAGCUAUUUGGAAAUUAUAAGAAAAGCAUGAUAAUAAGAAAGGUAUAUUGAAUAUGUUAUAAAUCUGAUAAGAAAUUAUGAUAAAGUAUUAGAUAGUCUAUUCAAAGAUAAGAUUAUUGAAUUAUAUUUAAGUUCCUUAUUAUGUCAUUUUAUUUAUUAUAUGAAAUGAAAAUGAAGUAUUCUCAUCUAAAAGCUCUUAAGUGAUUUUAAGAAUAAUAUGAAUAGUAUGAGGGCUAUUUUAUCAAAUCUAGCAUAUUCAUAAAAUAUUUGAUUUACAUGCAUUCUUAUUAAAGGCCCAUGGAGUUUUAAAACCUUACUGGGUUUCGAAACUCACCCUAUUAUAUUUCAGUGCACAAGUUCUUCCUGGAAGGAGCGAGAAUAUUAGAGGUGGCAAGGAUUCUGUAUUUUCUCGUUUGUUAGAAUGUAGAGUUUUGUUGUAUAGCAGUUAGCUCUUUUGUUGUAUAAGAGGAAUCAAGAUGUACUUGAUCCUUUGAGCACAGAUGUAAUUCAGUACCUUAGUUUGUUUUGAACUCCAAUUGUAUGUCUUUGGGGUUAGAUUUGUAAUAAGAGUUUUGCUAAACGUUUAGCUAUAUAAUAUUUACACGUAUACCUUAAGUUUCA